This 450-nucleotide ribosomal RNA is filed under the name uncultured bacterium. RNAcentral describes it as "partial 16S ribosomal RNA". It matches the Rfam family "Bacterial small subunit ribosomal RNA", at positions 354 to 796 of the family's 1533-position model. The record is from RNAcentral.
GUGGGGAAUAUUGGACAAUGGGCGCAAGCCUGAUCCAGCCAUACCGCGUGGGUGAAGAAGGCCUUCGGGUUGUAAAGCCCUUUUGUUGGGAAAGAAAUCCUGUCGAUUAAUACUCGGUGGGGAUGACGGUACCCAAAGAAUAAGCACCGGCUAACUUCGUGCCAGCAGCCGCGGUAAUACGAAGGGUGCAAGCGUUACUCGGAAUUACUGGGCGUAAAGCGUGCGUAGGUGGUGGUUUAAGUCUGCUGUGAAAGCCCUGGGCUCAACCUGGGAAUUGCAGUGGAUACUGGAUCACUAGAGUGUGGUAGAGGGAUGCGGAAUUUCUGGUGUAGCAGUGAAAUGCGUAGAGAUCAGAAGGAACAUCCGUGGCGAAGGCGGCAUCCUGGGCCAACACUGACACUGAGGCACGAAAGCGUGGGGAGCAAACAGGAUUAGAAACCCCAGUAGUCC